UCGGCCAGAAAGCUGCAAUCGGUGCACCGCUAAUAUUGAGAAACCGAAGCGAUCGGCUGCCGUGGUUCUGAAGAACCGCUCACAUUAACGUCAGCCGGCAGCUCAUUAAAGCGGCGCGGCCUCGGCCUGAAACUCAGCGGCUCCGCAGAGCUAGCCCCCCUGCUCAAUAAGGCCAAACCUGCAGCGAGGAUAUUAGUCUGACAGCAGAAGAUAAUUUGUCAAAACCUUAUUUUAAAGCUCUAUGAAUGUCAUCCUGUGUUGUGGCUCUUAAUUGAAAUGUAGUUUGCCAAGCAGGAAAAUAUAUGAGUGCACAUGCAGGGUGUUGGCAGGAUGUUUUAUGGGGACGCUAACCACACCUGGUUAGUGUUAGCAUCCUGACUGUGUACUUUGCAUACCUUCGUGUCACUUUUACCUUAAAUUAUCCCACAACGUUUUUCUUUAAUUCAUGAGAAUCUGAGAUUUUCUGAUAAAUCUUGAAGUCAGAGCAGAGAUAACCAUUAGCUUUACAGUGAUAUGUUAUUUUCCAAACGGUGAGAUUUAUAUUAGUUUACCCUCCAAUCUUCAAUCUUGCCCAGUUAUGAACCUCGCUGCCCCUCCCCCACUGGUUCCUGAACCCACUUGUACGUUCUCGGCCUCCAUAAUAAACCAACAUCUGCAGAACUUACAAGUGCUUUAGCUGCAGUUAAUUGAGUAAAUUGAAGCAAGCUGCAGCGCGGCGCUGAUCUAUGAUCCCCCGUUGAGGGCCCAGAAGGGAGACAACAGAUUUACUGCGAGGACAGUGGGCGGCCUUUUGUUCAGGUCCUGGUUCAUGGGAAGUUUGAGGUCAGAAGGGAUUAAAAUAUUUUAGAGAACAAAUGGAGCAAUUUGAGUGCAAUAUUAGAAGCUCUCUGCCAGUUCUUACCAGGAAUCCAGGUGUGAUUUAUUUAAUUUUAAGCUCUGUUUGUUUUUUCGUCCUUUUUUUUUUUUUGCCUAUUUCUUGAUAUUUGGGGUUAAUUUUUAAAACCGUUGAUUAGCUCUUUUAAGUUUUAGCUCUUAUGGGUCAAGGAAAAAUAAAGUACAUCCUCUGUUU
Poecilia latipinna (sailfin molly) is the source of this 1069-nucleotide long non-coding RNA. RefSeq lists it as uncharacterized. NCBI's taxonomy places the organism in Eukaryota, Metazoa, Chordata, Actinopteri, Cyprinodontiformes, Poeciliidae. The transcript has 2 exons. The record is from RefSeq and is a predicted model, not a curated record.